This is a small nucleolar RNA of Rattus norvegicus (Norway rat), 91 nucleotides long. Ensembl annotates it as small nucleolar RNA, C/D box 12. Its record names the gene Snord12. NCBI's taxonomy places the organism in Eukaryota, Metazoa, Chordata, Mammalia, Rodentia, Muridae. The record is from Ensembl.
GCUGGUGAAGCUGAUGAUACCACUUCUUUCCCCAUCAGAUCGACCCUGUUGAUCUCAUAUGCUAAUAGCCAGUUUUCUCUGAUGCACCAGC